GACGAACGCUGGCGGCGUGCUUAACACAUGCAAGUCGAACGGAAAGGCCUCUUUCGGGGGGUACUCGAGUGGCGAACGGGUGAGUAACACGUGAGUAACCUGCCCUUGACUUUGGGAUAACUUCAGGAGACUGGGGCUAAUACCGGAUAGGAGCUCCUGCUGCAUGGUGGGGGUUGGAAAGUUUCGGCGGUUGGGGAUGGACUCGCGGCUUAUCAGCUUGUUGGUGGGGUAGUGGCUUACCAAGGCUUUGACGGGUAGCCGGCCUGAGAGGGUGACCGGCCACAUUGGGACUGAGAUACGGCCCAGACUCCUACGGGAGGCAGCAGUGGGGAAUAUUGCACAAUGGGUGGAAGCCUGAUGCAGCAACGCCGUGUGCGGGAUGACGGCCUUCGGGUUGUAAACCGCUUUCGCUCAUGACGAAGCUUUGUGUGACGGUAGUGGGUAAAGAAGCACCGGCUAACUACGU
RNAcentral lists this ribosomal RNA (466 nucleotides) under uncultured bacterium. Its description in RNAcentral is "partial 16S ribosomal RNA". It matches the Rfam family "Bacterial small subunit ribosomal RNA", at positions 28 to 506 of the family's 1533-position model. The record is from RNAcentral.